GUAGGUGAACCUGCGGAAGGAUCAUUAACACUCCAAAUCACGUUUAUCCAGAGAAAAACUCUUUUUUCUUUGGAUAUUCACCCCCUCUUUUUCAAUUUGAACCUUUGUUGGGAAGUGCUUCAUAAGCUUUUGGUUUUUAGUUUUUUAAAACAAAACAAAAAACCAAAAGCUUCCCUGACCGCUUCCGCUUUUUUUUCUCCCAAAACCCCAUUAAAACACCUUUUUCUUUGACUGAACUUUGUUUUUUUUU
Molecule: unclassified non-coding RNA, 250 nt
Filed under: plant metagenome
Description: partial contains small subunit ribosomal RNA, internal transcribed spacer 1, and 5.8S ribosomal RNA
Source: RNAcentral